GUGUCAGCCGCCGCGGUAAAACGGAGGGUGCAAGCGUUGUUCGGAAUUACUGGGCGUAAAGCGCGUGCAGGUGGUUUUCUAAGUUUCGUGUGAAAUCCCACGGCUUAACUGUGGAACGGCACGGAAAACUGGAAAGCUUGAAUACGGGAGAAGAGGGCGGAAUUCCCAGUGUAGAGGUGAAAUUCGUAGAUAUUGGGAGGAACACCGGUGGCGAAAGCGGCUCUCUAGACCGAUAUUGACGCUCAUACGCGAGAGCGUGGGUAGCAAACAGGAUUAGAUACCCCCGUAGUCC
RNAcentral lists this ribosomal RNA (292 nucleotides) under uncultured bacterium. Its description in RNAcentral is "partial 16S ribosomal RNA". It matches the Rfam family "Bacterial small subunit ribosomal RNA", at positions 505 to 796 of the family's 1533-position model. The record is from RNAcentral.